GUAUAGCAAUAGCUACUUGCAUCAUUGUAGAUAUGAUGCAAGAUCGACUAUGUUGAAUAAAAUUCUAGGUAGAAUUAUGAUAAUGACAUUGUCUGCCUAUGUGUCUUGACCAAAUUACGUGCCAGCAGUCGCGGUAAUACGUAGAAGACUAGUGUUAUUCAUGUUUAAUCGGUUUAAAGGGUACCUAGACGGUAGAUCAAGCUUUCUAAUAAAGGAAAAGGACUAAUUUACUAGAGUUACUUAUGAGGGGGUAUUAAAGUACUGCUGGUGUAGAGAUGAAAUUCUGUCAUACCUCUUUUCAAAAGAAAAACCAUGGCACAGGUAUAGGCGAAGGCAUCCCCUUAUGUGAUAACUGACGUUGAGGGACGAAGGCUUUGUGUAGCGAACAGGAUUAGAUACCCCAAUAGUCGAAGCAGAAAAUGAUGAAUGUCAUAGAUUAGAUAUAUAAGUUUAUUCUAUAAAUGAAAGUGUAAGCAUUCCACCUCAUGAGUAAUUUGGCAACAUUGGAACUGAAAUCAUUAGACCGUUUCUGAAACCAGUAGUGAAGUAUGUUGUUUAAUUUGAUGAUCCGCAAAAAACCUUACCACAAUUUGAAUAUUUAUAUUAUUUAUUGUUUUAUUAUUAAUGAGAAAAUUAAUAAAGAGGCAAUAAGAUAUAUUUACAAGCGUUGCACGGCUGUCUUCAGUUAAUGUCGCGAGACUUUGGUUAGUUCCAUUAAAUUAACGUAAACCCUUACUUUAUUUUUAUAUAGAGUAGUUCCCCGCUAUA
This 768-nucleotide ribosomal RNA is filed under the name Xanthoparmelia sp. RNAcentral's name for it is "SSU rRNA". It matches the Rfam family "Bacterial small subunit ribosomal RNA", at positions 367 to 1160 of the family's 1533-position model. Lineage: Eukaryota; Fungi; Ascomycota; Lecanoromycetes; Lecanorales; Parmeliaceae. The record is from RNAcentral.